AGGAACGUAUACGAAAGAAGAGACGUGUAUGCGAAAGAAGAAACGUCUUCUGUUGGACACGUGUGUUGGUAGGAGAGAAAAAACACGUUGAGAGGAAAAAAAGGUCGAAGUUGACGAAGAAACUCGGUGGUCUCCUCCAUGAAAAAUCUCCUCGGUGCUCUCCUCCUCGACGAAGAAUCUCGGCGGUGGCUCUCCUCGGCGAGAAAUCUGGGUUGGCUCUCGUUGACGAAGAUUCUCGGUUGCUCUCCUCUCCUCAACUCAGAAAAUCGUCGGUGAGUCUCAUCGAUGAAGACAAUCGUCGGUUUCUGCUCCUUCUUAAUCGAAAGAGGCAACAAGGAUGGAUUGACCAGGCUUUGAGCUUGGAAGUGACCAAGCUGCAUUCUCUUCACAGCAAACAAACGAACAGAAGCAGCUAUCUAUGCAUGGAAGAGAGGAUUACAGAACAAGCAAGCAGUAUGUCACCGACAGACAUAACAAACCUGUGAGGAGAAGUGUAGGCGAAGUCGACCCAGCCAUGUUCUUCGCCACGCCAUUUGAGGAUGCGACCGUCGGUGACACCGACAUAAGGGCCUUCACCUUGUGAAUCAAACUCUAAGCUCUCUGGUCCAACGCCGGGGAGAGGAAUGGUCUUAGCCACUUGAAGAACGUGUUUCGUACCCUCUAAACGGUCCGGCUCGAUGAUAGUUGACCAGAAUAAAUAGCAAACGACGGCUAAGAUAACCGGAGCGGCCGCGACAGGCGUCAGAACUCUCCGACUGAUUGGCAUUAUCUCUCUCUCUCUCUCUCUCUCUCUCUCUCUCUCUCUCUCUCUCUCUCUCUCUCUCUCUGGCUAAUAA
Molecule: long non-coding RNA, 836 nt
Organism: Raphanus sativus (radish)
Lineage: Eukaryota; Viridiplantae; Streptophyta; Magnoliopsida; Brassicales; Brassicaceae
Exons: 3
Source: RefSeq, a predicted model, not a curated record